Molecule: non-coding RNA, 30 nt
Filed under: Rattus norvegicus (Norway rat)
Lineage: Eukaryota; Metazoa; Chordata; Mammalia; Rodentia; Muridae
Source: RNAcentral
UAAGUCGGAAUAAUAUUCUAUGGUAGAGAU